Molecule: long non-coding RNA, 545 nt
Organism: Saccostrea echinata
Lineage: Eukaryota; Metazoa; Mollusca; Bivalvia; Ostreida; Ostreidae
Exons: 4
Source: RefSeq, a predicted model, not a curated record
CACCGAGAAAGGAAGUGAGAUACGUUACUACAUGUACAUGAAAGGUGCUAGAUUCACAGAGGAUCGUGUAGUACAUGUAAGGUGCUAGUUUUACAAAGGAUCGUUAUCGAUACAAAUACAGUGUAAUUAAUUUAAAACAAAUGCACUUUAUAAUGAACUACUUAACAAACUAAUAUAUAGGUCAUUGUUCAAAGUUCUUUCCAUGUUGUCAAACUUUUGUUUGUUUUUUUUCCUUCAAUUUACAAUAUUCUGUUGAUUUGAAGCAGAAAAGUAAAAAUCGUAAAAUUUUCAUUUUUAUAUCCUUUAGGCCUCAACCUCACAGGAAAGAAUCCUUCCUGACAGUAAAUGUGAUACUGAUUCAAGCGGAUCAUUUGCAAAUACUUCGAGGACAUCCAAGGAAGAAGUGAGUGAGAGCAGUGCAGGACAAUGCCCACCAAGGUUUUUCGAAAGCGGGGAAAAGGCAAGAAAAUGGAAUCCAGAUUCGCUCGAAGGAUAUGUGUUCUACGACGGACACCAUUACAGGUAAACAAAACCCUUAAGUAAGC